AGAGAGAUGACACCAAAGAAUCGUCCAGAAAGGAAGCUAUACACAUUCUAAAUUCUACAUAGAGUUUGCUACAUGCAUUUCUUAAACCUACACUGCAUUGGGCCAUGGCAAAUCGUCACUCUUACAAGAGUUCAGGCUUGGGCUGCUUUUAAAAGACAUCAACCUGGAAAUAUCCUAGAUAUGCUUUGCUAUAAAUCAAGCAUAUCUAAGUGUCAUCUUAAAGUUGGGUAUCUCAUUCCAGGCAAACUCAAUCCCAUUCUUCUGACCAGCAGUACCUAUGGUAUUUCUCAGGAGCCUAUAAGCUGUAGAAAUCCUGCAGGCAGCAGAGGGA
RNAcentral lists this long non-coding RNA (331 nucleotides) under Pan troglodytes (chimpanzee). RNAcentral's name for it is "long non-coding RNA NONPTRT010394". Lineage: Eukaryota; Metazoa; Chordata; Mammalia; Primates; Hominidae. The record is from RNAcentral.